GUAUAUAUAAUUUAAAUAAAAUAUUAAACUGUGACUUUAAUUAUGAGAGUUANAACNNUCCGGUAUAAACCGAGAAGAA
This 79-nucleotide transfer RNA is filed under the name Aneides lugubris. RNAcentral's name for it is "partial tRNA-His". The record is from RNAcentral. Lineage: Eukaryota; Metazoa; Chordata; Amphibia; Caudata; Plethodontidae.